AAUCAACGCUGGCGGCGUGCCUCAGACAUGCAAGUCGAACGAUUAAAGCUCUCUUCGGAGAGUGCAUAGAGUGGCGCACGGGUGAGUAACACGUAAGUAAUCUACCUUCGAGUGGGGAAUAACGUCCGGAAACGGACGCUAAUACCGCAUAAUGCAGCGGCAUCGUAAGAUGACAGUUGUUAAAGAUUUAUCGCUUGAAGAGGAGCUUGCGGCAGAUUAGCUAGUUGGUAGGUAAUGGCUUACCAAGGCUACGAUCUGUAACCGGUCUUAGAGGACGGUCGGUCACACUGACACUGAAUAAC
This 302-nucleotide ribosomal RNA is filed under the name uncultured bacterium. Its description in RNAcentral is "bacterial SSU rRNA". It matches the Rfam family "Bacterial small subunit ribosomal RNA", at positions 32 to 327 of the family's 1533-position model. The record is from RNAcentral.